Long non-coding RNA from Cotesia glomerata, 1987 nucleotides. RefSeq lists it as uncharacterized. The record is from RefSeq and is a predicted model, not a curated record. Lineage: Eukaryota; Metazoa; Arthropoda; Insecta; Hymenoptera; Braconidae. The transcript is spliced from 6 exons.
UACUUAAUACUUAUUACCUGAUGGUUAAUUAAAAAAAAACUCCGUUUCAUUUCUAUUACUCACGUUUCUGUUCUUGUUACAAUUUAAGUGCGCAAACAAAUUAUUGAAAUUCACACGCUCUAAAUACCAGACAGUACUUGUAAUGUAUAAAGUAUAAAGUAAUUAUACAAAAAACAGAUUCUCUGUAAAUGACCGAGCCAAGUAAAUGUUUAUAAGAUGUAACACAGAAGCACAAUUUGAACGUGUACUUGCUUUAAAUUAACUCAGGAUUUCAUUUCUCGUAACUUUACCUUCAAAGCUGUAGUUAAAGUCAUAAAUCAUAAUAGUAAAUAGUUUCUUUACUUAGCUUGGGUUCUGUCGUUGUUUACGGCGUACCUCGGUUAUACAACUUCUGAGUAAGGGACAAACUUUAAACAGUUACCAUCACAAAGAAAGACCAACGGCUAGUUUACAACCAAAGUUCGUGGGAAGGAAAAAAUUCAAUUCUCUCAACUAUUUUCCUCAUACUUUACCUACACAAAUUCAUUCUUUACAAACCUCAUUUCAUUUUAGUACCUUUAAAAAAGCCUUACAAUAAAAAGAUUUCCGGGCUGCAAAUAAAUAAACAAAAAAUGUAUUAUUUUAAAUCUCAGAACCGAAGGAGUAGAGCUUACAAUUAGACAAAGAAAAUAGUGUAUCCGGGAUUGAUUGUAAUCGUACAUGAUUCAACGAAAACCGGAUGUCUGUACACUGUACGCGAGUGAAUUUCGUAAUAAUUGUCUUGGGUUUUCUGUUUCAUUUUUCAUUUUCAUUUAUAUUAAUUGCGCAAGCGAUCUCUUUUAAAUGAAGGUCUAAUCGGUGCUUGCCGAAACUUAAAUAAAGUGGCUAGUAUAAGCCGAGACAAUUAAAUUUCUUGAUAAUAAAGCGGCCUACUUACGUUACAUUAAACACAAAGUAAAGGUAGUGACUUUGUGAGUGCAGACAAAGAUUAUGAUUGCAUUGAGAUAAAAAGUCGGGUGUAUCGAGGCGACUGUCUUUGUAAAUUUAAAUAAUCGGCCAGCAAAUAUACCAACGAUUUGCGCAAACGUCUUGAUCGCAGGGAUAUCAGGCAAACAUGAGCUAAGUAUAAUAUAUAGCUCACUAUCACAGUGUUGUUAUAUAUUUAUAUACAUAUGUAUAAUAGCAGUGAGUCACGAGACGACAGUGAACAACUCUGUGAACGUGAAUGCGGAGUUUGUAACACGCGCAUGUUGUUGCGCGUGUCAGUUUUACCACUCGGGAAUAAAAGUUAGUAUAACUAACUAAUAUAAUGUUAUGUUACAACAAAGCAACAAUCACACGACAAUGAUAGUAAUAAGUCCGAUGUGUAACACUAAUAAUAAUAUUAAUUUAAGUUUAAGUAACGUCAAGGCCGCCCGAAAUUUCUCAAAUGUCUUCUGGAGGAACCUAAGCGUUAUGUUGCGUGCUAUGAUGAAUAUUUUGUUUAUUUAGCCUUAAAUUUUAGAUAGUGGGAGCAGAAUUAUGCCGAUGGGCAUGUAACGGUACUCAAUGAUUAGCACACUAACCAACAUAAAGUUUUUAGGCGGUAAGCUGACCGCAAAGGUUGCGUGGUUGACAUGAGCGUGAGCUUAGAGAAGAUAAUUGGUGAGGUGAAGAAUGAAGACAUAAUCGCGCAGACGUAUGAGUACAUGUAUUACCCGGAGAACAGAAUCAGAAUUUAAGUAACUUGAAUGGAGAGCAUAGUAUAGCAAAAGUAACUAAACGCAAAUAGAUAUUCAAGUUGGACGCGUGUCUUAAACCUGACCAUGCGCUUGUAUGUCAAUUAUUUGUUAUAUUUUUACCGCGCGACUUGCGCUCUACUUAUAAAGAGACAUGAUUAUGUCAACGGUCAUUAACCAUUAAUUCACUGUACACUUCAAUUCACUUAAUGUAACUCAUUACCAUUACUCGUGCUCAUAUGUAUAAACAUAUAACACAGACAUUAACGCAAGACUUAAAUCUAUUUACA